RNAcentral lists this long non-coding RNA (1122 nucleotides) under Homo sapiens (human). Its description in RNAcentral is "HSALNT0059867". Lineage: Eukaryota; Metazoa; Chordata; Mammalia; Primates; Hominidae. The record is from RNAcentral.
CACUUAAGUCUUCUCGCCGGAUGCUUUUUCCUCCUUGCUUUUGCCGGAAAGGAGAGAGAUACAUGUGAAGGAUAUCUGUCCUCGUUGCUUCCCCUGCCCUCUCAAAAGUUUAACUUCUGUGGGAAUGUGUAUCUUCCUUUUCUGGACCAUUUGACAGUCCCGCCCCAGCCGCCGUGUGAUUUAGCAACCGGUAUCAUAUUCAGAUCAAAUCUUAAAAAAAAAAAGUCACCUACAGAACUACAGAAUUGUUCUCUCCCGCUCAAGAAGGGCAAGUGGACUUUGGCGUUAAGAUGCAGGGGGGUGAACCAGUGUCCACAAUGAAAGUCUCGGAGAGCGAAGGAAAGCUGGAGGGCCAGGCCACAGCGGUGACCCCGAACAAGAACAGCAGCUGUGGAGGUGGAAUCAGUAGCAGCAGCAGCAGCCGCGGUGGCAGUGCAAAAGGCUGGCAGUACAGGUAUUUAUGGAAGGCCUUUUGAGGAACACAGAAAUGUAUCCCUGAACUUCCUCUACAGUCAGAGAGUUAAUGCUUCCUCAGAUUUAAUUCUGUACUCACUUCUGCUUUUGCCUAUGUUGCAAUUUAUUUACAAGCCAGCUUUCUCUGAUAGACUGCGAGGGCAGGAACUGUUUAACUCAGCUUUCUCGAGAGGGUAGCAAAUACUGGUGCUCAAAACUUACUUGUCCAGAGCUUCUCCAGAAUCAGAAAAGAUUCUUGCCCUGAAGGUAUUUGUGACUUGGAAAGGGGAAUGUACAUAAGUAAUUGGAAUGCAAGGACAAAGGUAGAGAUCCUAAUGCCUCUGAUAAACUAAACCUGAGCCUGGAGAUGUUCAGUUUGCGUUGCUCAGGCCACUUCAAUGCUCUCUGUGUUGAUGAGAAAGUCUAUAUUUGUUAAUUUUCACUAAUAUGAAUGAACAACUUAAGGAACAGGAGGAGAGUCCUGGAGAGGCAACAAGUUUUGUUUUUGUUUUUUCAUAUAUGAAGUGUAGGGAGAAAGAACUAUCCAGAACCUUAAGAAUGAAUGAAACAAACCAGCACAUCCCAUCGUAUUGGAACUAAAGGGAUGAAUUCUUAAGUUUUGAUUGACUCCUAUGUGCCUAACUGUAGUCCUUUUUAGCCUUUGUGCUU